Molecule: ribosomal RNA, 170 nt
Filed under: Clostridium sp. C10S32
Lineage: Bacteria; Bacillati; Bacillota; Clostridia; Eubacteriales; Clostridiaceae
Description: partial 16S ribosomal RNA
Rfam family: Bacterial small subunit ribosomal RNA
Source: RNAcentral
CUACGGGAGGCAGCAGUGGGGAAUAUUGCACAAUGGGGGAAACCCUGAUGCAGCAACGCCGCGUGAGUGAUGACGGUCUUCGGAUUGUAAAACUCUGUCUUCAGGGACGAUAAUGACGGUACCUGAGGAGGAAGCCACGGCUAACUACGUGCCAGCAGCCGCGGUAAUGA